Long non-coding RNA from Glycine soja, 1928 nucleotides. RefSeq lists it as uncharacterized. The transcript has 4 exons. The record is from RefSeq and is a predicted model, not a curated record. NCBI's taxonomy places the organism in Eukaryota, Viridiplantae, Streptophyta, Magnoliopsida, Fabales, Fabaceae.
UCCUUUUGAACUAGAGCCAAGUAUAGACAGAACAUCAAAGAACAGAGUUCCAAUGAGGACGAGCUGUAAAACACAAAAAAAUGGGAAGGAACAUGGGUUUGAAUUUGAUAGGGUACUCCACCGUUGCAAUGGUUUUCAUAAUUGGUGUGACGACUAAAGCAACAAAAUAUAUGGUUGGUGACAACUUCGGAUAGAACGUUCCCUCCUAUGAGAGCUACUAUAUAGACUGGGCUAGAACCAAGAGAUUCCAUGUUGGUCACAAACUCAUUUUCAGCUGGAGCGGAGAGCAUUCAUUGGGACUUAGGACAGACGCUAUUUAUUACAAGAAUUGUAGCACCGGCUUAGAAGGUGGUCUCACAUACAUAUUUGAUUAUAGGAGGACAAUGGUAAAUUAUACUAUACCAUUGGCAAUCACUGUGCAAGAGGCCAGAAUUUUAGUAUCAAUGUUGAGUCUACUGCUCCUACACUGUCAUUCGGAAUCUUAUAUGCAUUUCUCUCUAGCUUGGCUAUGUAUUUCUGCUUCAUUGUUACCAGUUAGUUACUUUCAACAUUCACUAUACAUUUUCUAGGCUUGUUGAGUUGUUUGUGAUUCAAUAAAGAAAAAAAAACAUAUUUUUAAUCUUUAUGCUUUUAAUAAAGGAUAAAAUUGGUGUGGAAGACUGCAUUCCACAACGGUUAUUUUAAAAACCACCAUGGAAAAGUUCAUUCAACGAUGCUUUUUUUAAAAAUGGUUGUGAUUGAGAAUCUUUUUGAACUAGCCCAUGCUCAUCUUCCUCACUUAGACAUUCAUCCUAACUUUGAACACUAAUGUCAUUUGAACUCUUUCUUGUGCUCAUGCCUUCGGCGUUGCUCUCCAUCGACUGGCUCGUGGUCGUCGUUGUCAUCGUCCUUAUCGUCUCACCAUCUUUGUCGCAUGGUCUAGUCAUCAUUUUCACCGUCGUGUUCCUUUGCCCUCGCCCUCACCCUCACCAUUGUGUUUGGGAAUCCCUUGCCACCAUUUUCAAACCUGAACAUGAAUGUCUCAGAGUUUUAAUUUCGUUGAACUUGAAGCAAGAACCAUGUUUGGAUCUCUGUGCCAGUGGUGGCAAAGAUGGAGUGACUCUUUUGUGGGAUUUGGCUCAGGGUAAGCGUCUUUACUCUCUCGAUGUUGGGUCUAUUAUCCAUGCACUCAAAAUCUGUGAACCAACACACAGAGAAGACAAGCAAAAGUCUGUUUGAGAGACUGUUGGCCAACCAAACAAAGCAGAGGAUAAAAAGAAUGGGAAGGAAAUGACUGGAAACACCCUUACAAUGUGUUGGAGAUGCAGAUUUUGAUUAUCAAGGAUACAGAUCUGAAAGCUUAAAUCUUGUCAACACAGUUUCAGGCCAAAGAAGAGAAGGUUUAAGCAGCUGAUGACUCGCUUAGAGAGGUAAAUCCACUCAGCGAGAUGCAUCCGCUUUGCAAGGCAUCCAACUCGCUUAGUUGAUUGGGAAACCCUAGAAGAUGAUAAGUCAGAGAUGUGCUUGUCCAGCGUGAAGCCAGCCUGCCCAACGAGCAUGUUGUCUCUUCUCGCGCUCAGCGCGCCCACUCUCGCUAAGCGAAAAUUCACUAACUCUCGCUUAGCGAGCCAUGCUCGCUCAGCGAGCUUUCGGAAGCUGAAGAGUCCAAGAGCCUUUAAAACACUGAGGUUGGCGGAGUUUCAAGGAGAGAGAUGAGUUUUGAGCAACAAAGAGAGCUUAGUUCAGAAAAACUGAGAGAGUUAGGGUUUAGAGGCUGGAGGAGACAUCCUCCAUCAUCUUCUUCCAAUUUCUUUCACCAAAAAUAGUUUCUUUCUUAGUUUUGAAGCUUUGCUUGUAAUGGAAGGCUAAGCCCCUUUCUUGGGGAGUUCUACUAAACAAUAUUGAUGUAAUAUUCUCACUAUCUAUUUAAUGUUAUUUUUUUAUGUUCA